Molecule: ribosomal RNA, 253 nt
Filed under: uncultured prokaryote
Description: partial 16S ribosomal RNA
Rfam family: Bacterial small subunit ribosomal RNA
Source: RNAcentral
ACAGAGGUCCCAAGCGUUGUUCGGAUUCACUGGGCGUAAAGGGUGCGUAGGCGGUCGGGUAAGUCUGAUGUGAAAUCUCGCAGCUUAACUGCGAAACUGCAUUGGAUACUAUCCGGCUCGAGGAAUGGAGGGGAGACUGGAAUACUUGGUGUAGCAGUGAAAUGCGUAGAUAUCAAGUGGAACACCAGUGGCGAAGGCGAGUCUCUGGACAUUUCCUGACGCUGAGGCACGAAAGCCAGGGGAGCAAACGGGA